Molecule: long non-coding RNA, 898 nt
Organism: Triticum aestivum (bread wheat)
Lineage: Eukaryota; Viridiplantae; Streptophyta; Magnoliopsida; Poales; Poaceae
Exons: 3
Source: RefSeq, a predicted model, not a curated record
CUGAGAAAUUACAGAUUUUCAGUGUUGUUUCUGUUUAUGUCGUAGCCGGGUGUGGCAUGAGGUGAUCUCAAGCCUAAUUUAUUCUACCUGAAUCUAGUGAACUUCUUUUUUACUUAAGGUUGUGUUAUAGUUUUCAUCUGAGGUUAUUUGAUUCAGAAAUAAAAAAGUUCUAUCAUCAGAUUGCAGCCGCCAAGGUAAAUCUUUACCUUCACUCAAGUGACUAAGGGAAGCUAGAAAAGAAAUGAUGAGAGAAGCCAGACAACCGAUUGAAGAAAGCAAAUGAAAACAAAAGAUAGAGACAAGCUGCAUUUAUUCCCCAGGGUUAAGUUUAGCCUUCUACAUACUUAUCAGAGAACACUUCAAGUCCAUCUGAUUCCUUUUUUCCGUGCGAAAGUAUAUCUGAUUUUUUCAUACCUAUCAAUGGGGAUAAUGAGGUUGCUGACAUGCCCACAUCUUCAGAGGUACCUGUUCAAGUGGUUGUCAGCUAAUGUAAGAGGGAUAGACAGUAACGUUUUUGUAUUUAGGAUGGGUAUGAGUAAUGUUAAAUUGAAAUUUCAGAACUUCUUUUGCAAAUAAACACCAGCAAAAUUCAGGUUUUGGCGAGAAGAAAAGUGAAACUAAAGGUUACAGUGCAAUUUAAUAGGAUACUAUGCUGCUUCCAGCCCAUGGAUUAGAACGCAUUAAUCUCUAUAGUCCAGGAGAGAUUGCUGAACAGAUGAAGUUGAUGGGAUAUCUCUGGUCGCCUGCAAAUUAAGCUAAUUGAAGAUCAAGCUCGGCAGUACUCAGUUUUCAAGUUUGGUGGUACUCAGAUUUCAAGUUCGGCAACGCUUAGUUUUGUAAUAGUGAUUGUUGAAUGUUUCCUGCCGCUGAUUACUUGGUGCUAAGUGCCGUUCAAUUA